UACGAAGGGGGCGAGCGUUGUUCGGAAUUACUGGGCGUAAAGGGCGCGCAGGCGGCUCUGAAAGUCAGAUGUGAAAGCCCCGGGCUUAACCUGGGAAUUGCAUUUGAUACUGAGGAGCUUGAGUCCGGGAGAGGUGAGUGGAACUGCGAGUGUAGAGGUGAAAUUCGUAGAUAUUCGCAAGAACACCAGUGGCGAAGGCGGCUCACUGGCCCGGUACUGACGCUGAGGUGCGAAAGCGUGGGGAGCAAACAGG
Molecule: ribosomal RNA, 253 nt
Filed under: uncultured bacterium
Lineage: Bacteria
Description: partial 16S ribosomal RNA
Rfam family: Bacterial small subunit ribosomal RNA
Source: RNAcentral